AUGUUUGAACCAACUGGUACUGUUUGUGGAAGCUUUGAUCAAAAGUUGGCCACACUGAGGAGCAUUGGGGAUUGUGUCAGUGAAUAUGAGCUCAGUGUGCUGUUGAAGAAGAUACCUGUCCCUGUUUGUUAUGUUUGGUGUGAUCCCUCCCCCUGGAUGCAUAUAACCCAGGGGAUCUCAAUGACAAGUAAUGUUAAUAAGAUGGUUAAAGCUGGUUUCGAAGUUAAACUAUUGAUGGCAGAUUGGUUUGCUCGAAUGGACCCUCAGAUCACGAUGAAGGUUGGUAGUGAUCUAAGUAAUAUUCAGACUAUUGGCCGGUAUAAUAUUGAGGUUUGGAAAGCAAUUGGCAUGAACCUUGGUGGGGUUGAGGUCGUGCAGUUGUCGGAUAAAAUAAGUUGCAAAACAGAUGAAUACUGGUCACUUGCAAUGGAUAUUGCAAGAAAAAGCGAUCUGAGCAGAAUAAAGAGUUGGCUUCGUGUUUAUGCAUCAAAAGAUCCAAGCAUGCGUUGUCAAGGAAGUAUUGAUCCUUAUAUGUCCAGAGAAUUUUCAGCUGCUGAAAUAGCUAAUCCUUGCUUGCAGAGCGCUGGUAUAUUAUUGCAGAAGGAAGAAGUCUGUUCAAAAAUAGAGGAUGCUUUCUGCCCUCUUAAAAAUGCAAAAUGUAAUCCGUGUUUGGAGUACAUAAAGUAUAUUAUCUUACCUUGGUUUGGAAAAUUUGAGGUGCUGCAGACUGUAGAGAACAGUGGUAUAAAGACGUUCAUGUGCAUGGAAGAGCUUGCUGCUGAUUAUGAAAGUGGCGCUUUGCAUCCAAUUGAUGUGAAGCAGGCGCUUGUCAAGGCAAUAAAUAUGAUGUUGCAGCCUGUCCGUGACCAUUUCAGUAGCAAUGAUGAAGCAAAAGAACUCAAGGAAGCUAUGCAGUGUUUGUCUACAAAUAAAAUUUGA
RNAcentral lists this ribosomal RNA (939 nucleotides) under Triticum aestivum (bread wheat). Its description in RNAcentral is "partial small subunit ribosomal RNA". Lineage: Eukaryota; Viridiplantae; Streptophyta; Magnoliopsida; Poales; Poaceae. The record is from RNAcentral.